CCCUUAGAUGUUCUGGGCUGCACACGUGCUACACUGGCAGGUUCAGCGAGCUUCAUGCCCUGAUCUGAAAGGAAUGGGAAAUCUUUUCAAAACCUGCCGUGCUUGGGAUAGAUGUUUGCAAUUAUUCAUCUUCAACGAGGAUUGCCUUGUAAGCGCACGUCAUCAGCGUGCAUUGAAUACGACCCUGUAUUCUGUACACACUGCCCGUCGCUCCUACCGAUUGAAGUUUUCGGUGAGUUGACAGGAGGAUUUUUUUGAAACUGGUUCGCCAGUGGAUUUUAGAUCCAAAUGCCAACGAAUCGAUGGCUUUAGAGGAAGGAGAAGUCGUAACA
Molecule: ribosomal RNA, 332 nt
Filed under: uncultured eukaryote
Lineage: Eukaryota
Description: partial 18S ribosomal RNA
Rfam family: Eukaryotic small subunit ribosomal RNA
Source: RNAcentral